Misgurnus anguillicaudatus (oriental weatherfish) is the source of this 1419-nucleotide non-coding RNA. NCBI's taxonomy places the organism in Eukaryota, Metazoa, Chordata, Actinopteri, Cypriniformes, Cobitidae. The record is from RefSeq and is a predicted model, not a curated record.
UUAAAGAGCACCUAUUAUGAGAUACACGUUUUUAAACAUCCUUUUGUGUGUAAGUGUGUAUUAGUACAUGCUAACGAUAUUCAAAAAGUACAUACCUCAAAGAAAACGAUGACGCGAGUUAUCGUCUCUAACGUUCGAGGACUACAAAAAACACUCGGAUUGUAGGCAACAGUUUACUUCCUGGGAUUGGUGACGUAGAUAAGACCAACAUUAUCAUAGUUCAGCCCUCUCUGCUUGGCUUGGGUACGCCCUCAAAGACGGGGGUGGAGAGCGCUGAGUCAGAAGAGAGCUAAAAUGGCGGAGGUUGGGAGUCCCUGCUUUGACCCUGUUUGCAAACUCUUGUUUCAUUGUUUAAGCGAUUAAAUCUCUCGAGUAGACGCUGUCUCUUUAGAUGCAAGGGCAAAAUAGCACUUUAUGGACUAACACAGAGGACAUCAUGUUUAAUACGGUUCCGGAAAAAUCCAGUCAGAAGUUGUUCACGGAGUUUUCACAAUAACUGCUUCUCAUGAACCAAAGCUGCGCUACGUCUCCUCCUGAAAGUUGGAUUACCGUGCACUUCUGGAUCACAGGCUAUUCGCAGCUGGACACAUCCUUCUACACUGUAUGCAAACAUGCAACAUCAUUACACACAGUACAAGGAGUCAGACUGGCAUAUGAGGAGCAAAGGAACCCAGGCAGUAGCAUCGUUUCACAAUGUUUCAAUCACCAUCAUCAGUGGAUGCCUUUGCCGUCCGUAGCCUGAGAUUUCAGAUUUGCAGCAAAAAAUGUGACUUUCCCAUUUAUUGGAAUGCUGUGCAGGUUGUACCUUGCAGCCAUCCAUUACAAUGUCACCAAGCCAUAACAAAAGCAGGAGAGGGAAAGUACAAGGCUAUGUUCCCAAAACACACAAGUGACAUACUGUAAGCAGUAAUGUUUUAUUUCAAAUACAUUCAUAAUUAAAAACUUAAUGUAUGAAGCAGGGAAAUAAAUUAUCAAAACAAAAGAUUUAUUGACUGCAAUAUUUGUACAGUUAUGUGGAUGAUGUGAUCAGGCUUGUGUUUGAUGAGGUAUUUGAAGAUAAGCUGAAGGAAACCCCGAUUCCAAUGGACCUGGCAUCACAGUUUGAGAGACCUUCAAAGGAGGACGUGAUUGCAUGCCAUCUUCAGUGCAGGGGUCGUCGGAAGCCAACAUUCCGAUCAGGAAGCUCCAAGCAUAUCUGGAGAACAACACACGACAGGAUGAUAACCCUAAAGUGUCGUCUUAGAUAGCACCAGCUGACAAAGCUUUGAUAUGCCAUUUAUCUGAAUAGAUAGCUGUAAGAAGUGAAUUGAACAAUUUUUUGAAAGAAGAGCACAAUAUGGUUACUAAAGUAUGUUUAUUUGUAUAUUGUUUAACAGUUAAAUAUAUAUUUGUAAUAAAUAAACUUUUGACUGACUACUA